GUCAGCUCGUGUUGUGAAAUGUUGGGUUAAGUCCCGCAACGAGCGCAACCCUUAUCCUUUGUUGCCAGCGAUUCGGUCGGGAACUCAAAGGAGACUGCCAGUGAUAAACUGGAGGAAGGUGGGGAUGACGUCAAGUCAUCAUGGCCCUUACGAGUAGGGCUACACACGUGCUACAAUGGCAUAUACAAAGAGAAGCGACCUCGCGAGAGCAAGCGGACCUCAUAAAGUAUGUCGUAGUCCGGAUUGGAGUCUGCAACUCGACUCCAUGAAGUCGGAAUCGCUAGUAAUCGUGGAUCAGAAUGCCACGGUGAAUACGUUCCCGGGCCU
RNAcentral lists this ribosomal RNA (327 nucleotides) under uncultured Enterobacteriaceae bacterium. Its description in RNAcentral is "bacterial SSU rRNA". It matches the Rfam family "Bacterial small subunit ribosomal RNA", at positions 1054 to 1381 of the family's 1533-position model. The record is from RNAcentral. Lineage: Bacteria; Pseudomonadati; Pseudomonadota; Gammaproteobacteria; Enterobacterales; Enterobacteriaceae.